UGCAUAUCCAAAAAAGCGGAGGAAAAGAAACUAACAAGGAUUCCCCUAGUAACUGCGAGUGAAGCGGGAAAAGCUCAAAUUUAAAAUCUGGUGGUCUUUGGCCAUCCGAGUUGUAAUCUAGAGAAGUGUUAUCCGCGCUGGACCGUGUACAAGUCCCCUGGAAUGGGGCGUCAUAGAGGGUGAGAAUCCCGUCUUUGACACGGACUACCAGGGCUUUGUGAUGCACUCUCAAAGAGUCGAGUUGUUUGGGAAUGCAGCUCAAAAUGGGUGGUAAAUUCCAUCUAAAGCUAAAUAUUGGCGAGAGACCGAUAGCGAACAAGUACCGUGAGGGAAAGAUGAAAAGAACUUUGGAAAGAGAGUUAAACAGUACGUGAAAUUGUUGAAAGGGAAACGCUUGAAGUCAGUCGCGUCUGCCAGGGAUCAACCUUACUUUUGUGAGGCGUACUUCCUGGUUGAUGGGUCAGCAUCAGUUUUGGUCGCUGGAUAAAGGUCAGAGAAAUGUGGCACCUUCGGGUGUGUUAUAGUCUUUGAUCAGAUACAGUGGCUGGGACUGAGGAACUCAGCGCCGCAAGGCUGUCUUAGGAUGCUGGCAAAAUGGCUUUAAUCGACCCGUCUUGAAACACGGACAAAGGAGUCA
RNAcentral lists this ribosomal RNA (637 nucleotides) under Lentinus sajor-caju. Its description in RNAcentral is "LSU rRNA". It matches the Rfam family "Eukaryotic large subunit ribosomal RNA", at positions 37 to 676 of the family's 3401-position model. The record is from RNAcentral. Lineage: Eukaryota; Fungi; Basidiomycota; Agaricomycetes; Polyporales; Polyporaceae.